This is a long non-coding RNA of Acanthopagrus latus (yellowfin seabream), 2267 nucleotides long. RefSeq lists it as uncharacterized. NCBI's taxonomy places the organism in Eukaryota, Metazoa, Chordata, Actinopteri, Spariformes, Sparidae. The record is from RefSeq and is a predicted model, not a curated record. The transcript is spliced from 4 exons.
UUUGCUGAAUGUGAACGUCCAGCCCCUCAGAUGAACUCUUCUCUCUGCAGCUUCAUCUUUCAUCUCUUGUUCAAUAUGCUGCCCUUGAUCUGCAGCUGAUGUUAUAAUAAUCAUUAUGAACUCUGUUUCAUGUCAACAUGCUCGCAGCAGGAGGAGAGCGCUCAGCCGCCACGAGAAACCUUCGUUAAACAGCGUCCACGAGAAGAAGACGAUGGCGAGCGGCGGUGUUCAGGACGCCACUGCCAAUGUCUUAGAUUGAAAUGAUUCGGAGGGGAGAGCGAGGAGUCGAUGUUUGGUUUUUCCUGCAGAACCGGGCCGGAUGUUCAACAGGCAGCUGGAGUCAAGAGGAGGACAGAAGGAAGACUAAAUGCACAAGGUUCAAAAUAUGUGUUAAAGUCUCACUGAGAGGUGAAGGUUCCUCGUCCUGCAGCCUCAGAGUGUCAGAAAUCACCUUCUCUCACACACAGCACCACGAUUCAAAGAGCUCCGGCAGAAAAAUACCACAAAAACAUCUUUUGCCCCGGGACACCUCCACCCGAAGAUGUGAUGGAGGAAGAAACAGAAGAAAGUCUCCUCAGAGACACACAGACGAGGAGGAGGAGUGACGACAGCAGCUCUGUCUGGAACAUGUCGAGUGUCACCUUCUGGAUUUCCAGAACAGAACCAACAAAAACACGUCGGCGUCUCACAGAAACCUCGCUGACCAGCAGAACUGGAGAUUUGAUGGCUGAGAUGCAUUCUGAUGUUUCAGGUGAUGAAACACGAUCUUCUCUCCAGGUGUUUUCUUUGUGUCAGCUGAUGUGUCUCCUAAUGAGCAGAGGAAACAGUCAGAGCUCCAUCCAAACACAACAUACAACACAGACUCACAACCCGUUCACCACAAUGAACCCUGAACAGGAACACAGCUGGAUGAGUCCUGACUCUGGAUCCUCUGGUGUCACUCUGACAACUGUGGAAACUCACACAUGUACAGUGAAAUAUAUGAAAUAUGUAAUAUGGAGGUCUGGCUGGUCUGCAGAGGCGUUACAGUCUGCAGGUGAACGUGAAGCGUCUUAAAGCCGACAGGUCCUUUUUAUGUAGAACAGUUCUGACGUCUCUCACCUUUAUCAGACGGAGAGACGUUUAUCAGAGACAGGAGUCCUGAUCCGGUCGCCUCUGAUAUCAGAGAUGAACACAUGCAGUCGGUGUGUGUGAGCUCACGUCCACCAGCUCCUGUCUGAUGAUCCACAGCUGAUAUUAUGACCAUCAGCUGAUCACAGAGACGACUGCUGGACGUUGAGCAUAAUUCAAGUCACCAGGAUGUAAAGUUAGCAGUUCUGCUGCGUCACAUAUUGACAAGUCACGUUCUCAUCACAUGUUCGAUACCUGACUUCACAUCAGGAAGUAACACGAGGUGAAUAUCUGGUGGAUCUCAGGUCAGACGAUCAUGACGGAUGCUGGAUGUGCUCGUACCACUUUUGUCCACAGAGGCCGCCACAAUCAACAGAACCUGAAGCUUGUCAGGCAGCUACGUGCAGCUCGCCACAGUUUAAUCCUGGACUGUAUUUAUCUGCAGCCGCUCCGUCACCAGGCUGGACUCGUCGCCGACCAGCAGAAGAUAUCAGAGCUGUCGCUUCGUACGUUUUCACCCACUCGCCCGCUUGUAAUUACCGUCUGAACAACACGACACAAACACAUUUACCCCAGAAGAAUCUGCCGUCUUCACCACGUGUGAUUGAGCGAUACAUGAAGCGCCGGCUCGGAGUCUGUGAUUGUAUUUGAAUACUCGUCUUUAUUCCCUCGGCUGGAGUGUCCGUCUGUAAUUUGUUUGUAUCUGUGAAUGUCAGCUGCUGUCUGCCGUGGAGUCUGAUCAGUCUGGCAUCUUUAAAAGCUCAGCCUGACAAGUAAAUAGCUGAAAAUUGCCUCAGAAGAGUUUUGUUCGGGGCUUUUGUUUUGAUUUCUGCUGAAAUUACAUUCCUUUUAGGAAAUGGCAGGAAGAUAGCUGCUGGAGGAGCCGGCGUGGCGUGAGGCGACCCUCGUUUAAACCCGGGACAUUUCAACACUGCGUCGUUGUCUUUGGCAUAAUGUCAGCCAUUUCCUCUCCUCCGGACGUGCAGAUAGAGGGCUGAUGAUGAUAACGGCUCAAAAUAUUGCUCUCACAUAUUAUAACAACACGGAGCGCCGUGUCGGCCUCCAUCCUGAACGCUGGAGUUUUACACUCCACCUGUGUGUUAAAGCUGCCUGAAGACGCUGAUCUGCUCCAUCGCCCGGCGUGUUCUCGUCCGCCU